AUGGUAUCCGGUGCAAAGGCCGGACAAGGUUCGGUCCUAGCUACGGGCUCGUCUAAGGUACCAGUACUAUGGAGAACCGGGGCUGACGAACUCCUAGAACUGCUAGAAAAGGAGGUAUCAGAGGAUAUUUUGGAUCAAACGGAAGCCACAAUAAUCCCAAAAAAUUAGGAAAAAAUGGCAGACAGGCCCCCGAGAAAGUUAAAUAAACAGAAUAUGAAGAAGAAAGGAUGGGAGAACAACAGAAAGUUUCGAAACUAACCUAGAUCGACCCCAGGAGCACAGGAGGAUGGCGAGGACGACGGAGGUCGACUCGGAGAAUGCCUAAGGCCGAGAAGGGUGCUAGAGGAAACUGGAGCUCUCGGGGAAGAGGAGGGGAACCGAGGGAUUCUCUCAAGCAAAGUGAAACCCAUGAAGGAGGAGAACGUGUUUAAAUAGACCCCGGGAUCCGACGCAAUUAUGAUCGCAGAUUUCCUCUGACCGGCCUGCACCUGCCGCGUGUCCCACUCACUAUGACAGGCUGUCGAAAAUGGCUAGCAGCUGACAAAAUAAUUAUUGCACC
This 559-nucleotide long non-coding RNA is filed under the name Elaeis guineensis (African oil palm). Its description in RNAcentral is "long non-coding RNA (EGUI_LNC042444)". Lineage: Eukaryota; Viridiplantae; Streptophyta; Magnoliopsida; Arecales; Arecaceae. The record is from RNAcentral.